Molecule: ribosomal RNA, 119 nt
Filed under: Vombatus ursinus (common wombat)
Lineage: Eukaryota; Metazoa; Chordata; Mammalia; Diprotodontia; Vombatidae
Source: RNAcentral
GUCUAUGGCCAUACCACCCUGAACACACCCGAUCUCGUCUGAUAUCGGAAGCUAAGCAGGGUCAGGCCUGGUUAGUGCUUGGAUGGGAGACCGCCUGGGAAUACUGGGUACUGUAGGCU